GACGAACGCUGGCGGCGUGCCUAAUACAUGCAAGUUGAGCGAUGAAGAUUGGUGCUUGCACCAAUUUGAAGAGCAGCGAACGGGUGAGUAACGCGUGGGGAAUCUGCCUUUGAGCGGGGGACAACAUUUGGAAACGAAUGCUAAUACCGCAUAACAACUUUAAACAUAAGUUUUAAGUUUGAAAGAUGCAAUUGCAUCACUCAAAGAUGAUCCCGCGUUGUAUUAGCUAGUUGGUGAGGUAAAGGCUCACCAAGGCGAUGAUACAUAGCCGACCUGAGAGGAUGAUCGGCCACAUUGGGACUGAGACACGGCCCAAACUCAUACGGGAAGCAGCAGUAGGGAAUCUUCGGCAAUGGACGAAAGUCUGACCGAGCAACGCCGCGUGAGUGAAGAAGGUUUUCGGAUCGUAAAACUCUGUUGGUAGAGAAGAACGUUGGUGAGAGUGGAAAGCUCAUCAAGUGACGGUAACUACCCAGAAAGGGACGGCUAACUACGUG
This 497-nucleotide ribosomal RNA is filed under the name uncultured bacterium. Its description in RNAcentral is "partial 16S ribosomal RNA". It matches the Rfam family "Bacterial small subunit ribosomal RNA", at positions 28 to 507 of the family's 1533-position model. The record is from RNAcentral.